This 274-nucleotide ribosomal RNA is filed under the name uncultured bacterium. RNAcentral describes it as "partial 16S ribosomal RNA". It matches the Rfam family "Bacterial small subunit ribosomal RNA", at positions 523 to 796 of the family's 1533-position model. The record is from RNAcentral.
AUACGGAGGGUGCAAGCGUUGUUCGGAAUUACUGGGCGUAAAGCGCGCGUAGGCGGUUUGAUCAGUCGGAUGUGAAAGCCCUGGGCUCAACCUGGGAACUGCAUUCGAUACUGUCAGACUAGAAUAUGGUAGAGGGUAGUGGAAUUCCUGGUGUAGCGGUGAAAUGCGUAGAUAUCAGGAGGAACAUCAGUGGCGAAGGCGGCUACCUGGACCAAUAUUGACGCUGAGGUGCGAAAGCGUGGGGAGCAAACAGGAUUAGAAACCCUAGUAGUCC